UCCCUGGUGGCUCAGACAGUAAAGCAUCUGCCUGCAAUGCAGGAGACCCAGGUUCGAUUCCUGGGUCGGGAA
RNAcentral lists this transfer RNA (72 nucleotides) under Ovis aries (sheep). It matches the Rfam family "tRNA". From Rfam's summary of the family: Transfer RNA (tRNA) molecules are approximately 80 nucleotides in length. Their secondary structure includes four short double-helical elements and three loops (D, anti-codon, and T loops). Lineage: Eukaryota; Metazoa; Chordata; Mammalia; Artiodactyla; Bovidae. The record is from Rfam by way of RNAcentral.